GAUGAACGCUGGCGGCGUGCCUAACACAUGCAAGUCGAACGGAGUCGUUUUGGAAAUCUCUUCGGAGAUGGAAUUCUCGACUUAGUGGCGGACGGGUGAGUAACGCGUGAGCAAUCUGCCUUUAAGAGGGGGAUAACAGUCGGAAACGGCUGCUAAUACCGCAUAAAGCAUUAAAUUCGCAUGUUUUUGAUGCCAAAGGAGCAAUCCGCUUUUAGAUGAGCUCGCGUCUGAUUAGCUAGUUGGCGGGGUAACGGCCCACCAAGGCGACGAUCAGUAGCCGGACUGAGAGGUUGAACGGCCACAUUGGGACUGAGACACGGCCCAGACUCCUACGGGAGGCAGCAGUGGGGAAUAUUGCGCAAUGGGGGAAACCCUGACGCAGCAACGCCGCGUGAUUGAAGAAGGCCUUCGGGUUGUAAAGAUCUUUAAUCAGGGACGAAACAAAUGACGGUACCUGAAGAAUAAGCUCCAGCUAACUACGUG
This 483-nucleotide ribosomal RNA is filed under the name uncultured bacterium. RNAcentral's name for it is "partial 16S ribosomal RNA". It matches the Rfam family "Bacterial small subunit ribosomal RNA", at positions 28 to 507 of the family's 1533-position model. The record is from RNAcentral.